CUUCACCUUGGGACCUUUCAGAUGCAAAUCAAAGUCAGGCAUGGAGAUCUUGGGGGCUUUGAUGUUCAUCUCAGGCAUCUUGAAUUUAGGGCCCUUUAGUUUCGCAUCUGGACCUUCGAUAUUCACAUCAGGAACAUCAAUGUCCACCUUGGGUCCUGAGACGUCAAGGUCAGCCUUGGGCAGGUUCACAUCCACUUCAGGGCCCUCUGCUUUGAAGCCAGGCAUGCUGAACUUGGGCAUUUUCAUCUUGGGCAUCUUCAGGUGCCAGUCUGGGCCAUGAACAUCCACAUCUGGGGCAUCAAUGUCCAUUUUGGGUCCUUUGAUGUCAACAUCUGGCACUUUCAUUUCACCUUCUACCUUGGGCACAGACACAUCCAUAUCCCCUUUGACUUUGGGGCCUUUCAGGUGUAAGUCCACAUCAGGCAUGGAGAUCUUGGGGGCCUUGAAGUGCAUCUCAGGCAUCUUAAACUUGGGCCCUUUCAACUUUGCAUCAGGACACUCCAG
This 504-nucleotide long non-coding RNA is filed under the name Homo sapiens (human). RNAcentral describes it as "HSALNT0176112". The record is from RNAcentral. Lineage: Eukaryota; Metazoa; Chordata; Mammalia; Primates; Hominidae.